This is a long non-coding RNA of Medicago truncatula (barrel medic), 361 nucleotides long. RefSeq lists it as uncharacterized. Lineage: Eukaryota; Viridiplantae; Streptophyta; Magnoliopsida; Fabales; Fabaceae. The transcript has 3 exons. The record is from RefSeq and is a predicted model, not a curated record.
CAUUCUUCUACCGUUGAAACUUUAAUUUGUGGUGGUGAUUGGCUUCGAGUAUUGCAUGGGAUUAGGAACAAACCUAAAGUGGAGCAUGUUUCGACAGAAAUCACAUUAUUCCCUUGAUGUUAAGUAGGAUGUUGAUCCACUUUCUCGUUUGUUGUUCAGAAUUGUUGCUGCUAUAGAGUUCGCAUCAUGUUUGAAGUUUGUUUCUUUCUAAAUGAGUAAAGAUUAAGUUGAAGGUUGUGUUAAAUGUGGCUGAAUACAAUUUUGUCUUUAAGGGGAGAGCAAUUGGAGUUUGGAAGUAGAAAAAUAUUAUGCAUUCUGUUAUCGACUAAUUGAGUUUUGUUGGAUUUUUUGUAUCAGAUAU